AGGUACCGUCAAUGCCGGAGGUAUUAACUCCGGGUUUUUCUUUCCUAAUAAAAGUGCUUUACAACCCGCAGGCCUUCUUCACACACGCGGCAUUGCUGCAUCAGGCUUGCGCCCAUUGUGCAAUACUUCCCCA
This 133-nucleotide ribosomal RNA is filed under the name uncultured bacterium. RNAcentral describes it as "partial 16S ribosomal RNA". The record is from RNAcentral.